AUGCACGCUGGCGGCGUGCCUCAUCCCUGCCAGUCGAGCGAACGGACGAGAAGCUUGCUUCUCUGAUGUUAGCGGCGGACGGGUGAGUAACACGUGGAUAACCUACCUAUAAGACUGGGAUAACUUCGGGAAACCGGAGCUAAUACCGGAUAAUAUUUUGAACCGCAUGGUUCAAAAGUGAAAGACGGUCUUGCUGUCACUUAUAGAUGGAUCCGCGCUGCAUUAGCUAGUUGGUAAGGUAACGGCUUACCAAGGCAACGAUGCAUAGCCGACCUGAGAGGGUGAUCGGCCACACUGGAACUGAGACACGGUCCAGACUCCUACGGGAGGCAGCAGUAGGGAAUCUUCCGCAUUGGGCGAAAGCCUGACGGAGCAACGCCGCGUGAGUGAUGAAGGUCUUCGGAUCGUAAAACUCUGUUAUUAGGGAAGAACAUAUGUGUAAGUAACUGUGCACAUCUUGACGGUACCUAAUCAGAAAGCCACGGCUAACUACGUG
RNAcentral lists this ribosomal RNA (496 nucleotides) under uncultured bacterium. RNAcentral describes it as "partial 16S ribosomal RNA". It matches the Rfam family "Bacterial small subunit ribosomal RNA", at positions 29 to 507 of the family's 1533-position model. The record is from RNAcentral.